UACGUAGGGCGCAAGCGUUAUCCGGAAUUAUUGGCGUAAGAGCUCGUAGGCGGUUUGUCGCGUCUGCCGUGAAAGUCCGGGGCUCAACUCCGGAUCUGCGGUGGGUACGGGCAGACUAGAGUGAUGUAGGGGAGACUGGAAUUCCUGGUGUAGCGGUGAAAUGCGCAGAUAUCUGGAAGAACACCCGUGGCUAAGGCGGCUCUCUAGUACGGUACUGACGCUGAGACGCGAAAGCGUGGGGAGCGAACGAG
This 251-nucleotide ribosomal RNA is filed under the name uncultured bacterium. RNAcentral's name for it is "partial 16S ribosomal RNA". It matches the Rfam family "Bacterial small subunit ribosomal RNA", at positions 524 to 776 of the family's 1533-position model. The record is from RNAcentral.